GAAUUCAUAGUUAAUUAAAGCGAUACGUGGUGAAGUGAAACAUCUCAGUAACCACAGGAAAAGAAAACGAAUGUGAUUCCGUGUGUAGUGGCGAGCGAAACGCGAAAACCAAGGCCAAACCUAUCUGAGGAUAGGGGUUGUAGGGCUUGCAUUAUGGAAGUUAAAAGGAUAGAAGAAGCUGUUGGAAAGCAGCGCCAAAGAGGGUGAUAGCCCCGUAUUUGAAAUCUUUU
This 230-nucleotide ribosomal RNA is filed under the name Mycoplasmoides genitalium. Its description in RNAcentral is "Mycoplasma genitalium 23S rRNA". It matches the Rfam family "Bacterial large subunit ribosomal RNA", at positions 160 to 390 of the family's 2925-position model. The record is from RNAcentral. Lineage: Bacteria; Bacillati; Mycoplasmatota; Mycoplasmoidales; Mycoplasmoidaceae.